CCUACGGGGGGCUGCAGUCGAGAAUUAUUCACAAUGGGGGAAACCCUGAUGGUGCGACGCCGCGUGGGGGAAUGAAGGUCUUCGGAUUGUAAACCCCUGUCAUGUGGGAGCAAAUUAAAAAGAUAGUACCACAAGAGGAAGAGACGGCUAACUCUGUGCCAGCAGCCGCGGUAAUACAGAGGUCUCAAGCGUUGUUCGGAAUCACUGGGCGUAAGGCGUGCGUAGGCUGUUUCGUAAGUCGUGUGUGAAAGGCGCGGGCUCAACCCGCGGACGGCACAUGUUACUGCGAGACUAGAGUAAUGGAGGGGGAACCGGAAUUCUCGGUGUAGCAGUGAAAUGCGUAGAUAUCGAGAGGAACACUCGUGGCGAAGGCGGGUUCCUGGACAUUAACUGACGCUGAGGCACGAAGGCCAGGGGAGCGAAAGGGAUUAGAUACCCAAGUAGUC
This 446-nucleotide ribosomal RNA is filed under the name uncultured bacterium. RNAcentral's name for it is "partial 16S ribosomal RNA". It matches the Rfam family "Bacterial small subunit ribosomal RNA", at positions 338 to 795 of the family's 1533-position model. The record is from RNAcentral.